This 497-nucleotide ribosomal RNA is filed under the name uncultured bacterium. RNAcentral's name for it is "partial 16S ribosomal RNA". It matches the Rfam family "Bacterial small subunit ribosomal RNA", at positions 28 to 507 of the family's 1533-position model. The record is from RNAcentral.
GAUGAACGCUGGCGGCGUGCCUAAUACAUGCAAGUCGAGCGAACAGACGAGGAGCUUGCUCCUCUGACGUUAGCGGCGGACGGGUGAGUAACACGUGGAUAACCUACCUAUAAGACUGGGAUAACUUCGGGAAACCGGAGCUAAUACCGGAUAAUAUAUUGAACCGCAUGGUUCAAUAGUGAAAGACGGUUUUGCUGUCACUUAUAGAUGGAUCCGCGCCGCAUUAGCUAGUUGGUAAGGUAACGGCUUACCAAGGCGACGAUGCGUAGCCGACCUGAGAGGGUGAUCGGCCACACUGGAACUGGGACACGGUCCAGGCUCCUACGGGAGGCAGCAGUAGGGAAUCUUCCGCAAUGGGCGAAAGCUUGACGGAGCAACGCCGCGUGAGUGAUGAAGGUCUUCGGAUCGUAAAACUCUGUUAUUAGGGAAGAACAAAUGUGUAAGUAACUAUGCACGUCUUGACGGUACCUAAUCAGAAAGCCACGGCUAACUACGUG